Molecule: ribosomal RNA, 381 nt
Filed under: uncultured eukaryote
Lineage: Eukaryota
Description: SSU rRNA
Rfam family: Eukaryotic small subunit ribosomal RNA
Source: RNAcentral
AGCUCCAAUAGCGUAUAUUAAAGUUGUUGCGGUUAAAAAGCUCGUAGUUGGAUUUCUGUUGAGAACAGCCGGUCCACCUCUUGGGUGAGCAUCUGGAUUGGUCUCGGCAUCCUAUCGUAGAACGUUUCUGCGCUUGAUUGCGUGGUGCGGGUUACGAUACUUUUACUUUGAGGAAAUUAGAGUGUUCACGGCAGGCAUACGCCUUGAAUAUAUUAGCAUGGAAUAAUAAUAUAGGAUCUUGGUUCUAUUUUGUUGGUUUCUAGAGCUAAGAUAAUGAUUAAUAGGGACAAUUGGGGGCAUUCGUAUUAAUGCGUCAGAGGUGAAAUUCUUGGAUUGCAUUACGACGAACUACUGCGAAAGCAUUUGCCAAGGAUGUUUUCA